AGAGCGGCCACUGGGGGGUGCCCGGAUUCCAGGCGGGGAAGCCGAAUUUGCACACAGGCAGAAAAUUCAAGACGGGGACUGAGACUCCAUGGGAAGAAGGGCCAAGUAGGGCGUAGGAAACGGUGACUCUCCCCCACAUUCCUGGGAGCAGGAGCCUAAAGGGGGAGCACAACUGGGGAGCACUCUGGGUGAAGGGAAUAUAGUGGGGCCGGGAAGGGAAGCAAGAGGCUUGUGGGCAGGUGAGUGCACACCACAGGGCCCAGCGCCUCUUCCAGGCCAAGUUCAGGGGCUUGCACUUGGCUAGAGCCUGACUCCGCCAGAGCCUGACUCUGCCACUCCCCUCCCCGUCCCAGGAGCAAGCGGCUGAGAUCAUCACUCACCCUUGCUUCCGCAGAGGUCUGCCAGAGCUUUCUAAACGUCAUGGAAACCCUCUUCACGGGCACGCUUUCCAGUUACGAGGCCGCCGUUGAACCUUUCUUGCCAGACGCGGACAUGAAAGACGCGGGGAUCCAGCUGAAGAGGCUGGUGGACACGCUUCCUCAGAAGGCCAAGGAGAGCAUCUUAAAGCUCACGGACAAAAUCGUAAGAAGCCCACUGUGUGCUUAGGAUUCAGAAGCUGAAGGUCUCCAGCCGCCGAAGUCCCUGCUGCUCCCCAGACGCUUCCCUCACUGUGUCCCCAGCCUGGCUCCCUUCAAUAAAGCACAAGCAUCUCA
Molecule: RNA transcript, 713 nt
Organism: Herpailurus yagouaroundi (jaguarundi)
Lineage: Eukaryota; Metazoa; Chordata; Mammalia; Carnivora; Felidae
Gene: SCGB1A1
Gene name: secretoglobin family 1A member 1
Exons: 3
Source: RefSeq, a predicted model, not a curated record